Molecule: ribosomal RNA, 253 nt
Filed under: uncultured bacterium
Lineage: Bacteria
Description: partial 16S ribosomal RNA
Rfam family: Bacterial small subunit ribosomal RNA
Source: RNAcentral
GACGAAGGGGGCUAGCGUUGUUCGGAAUUACUGGGCGUAAAGCGCGUGUAGGCGGUUGUUCAAGUUGGAUGUGAAAGCCUUGAGCUCAACUCAAGAAAUGCAUUCAGGACUGAAUGACUAGAGGACCGGAGAGGAUAGUGGAAUUCCCAGUGUAGUGGUGAAAUACGUAGAGAUUGGGAAGAACACCAGUGGCGAAGGCGGCUAUCUGGACGGUUUCUGACGCUAAGACGCGAAAGCGUGGGGAGCAAACAGG